UAGUCCACGCCGUAAACGAUGGAUACUAGCUGUUCGGACUUCGGUCUGAGUGGCUAAGCGAAAGUGAUAAGUAUCCCACCUGGGGAGUACGUUCGCAAGAAUGAAACUCAAAGGAAUUGACGGGGGCCCGCACAAGCGGUGGAGCAUGUGGUUUAAUUCGAUGAUACGCGAGGAACCUUACCAGGGCUUAAAUGUAGUGGGACAGGUCUGGAAACAGAUCCUUCUUCGGACUCAUUACAAGGUGCUGCGUGGUUGCCGUCAGCUCGUGCCGUGAGGUGUCAGGUUAAGUCCUAUAACGAGCGCAACCCCUAUCUUUAGUUACCAGCACUUCGGGUGGGGACUCUAAAGAUACUGCCCCGGUUAACGGGGAGGAAGGUGGGGAUGACGUCAAGUCCUCAUGGCCCUUAUGCCCAGGGCUACACACGUGCUACAAUGGACGAUACAGAGGGUCGCGACACUGCGAGGUGGAGCCAACCCCUUAAAGUCGUUCUUAGUUCGGAUUGGAGUCUGCAACUCGACUCCA
Molecule: ribosomal RNA, 523 nt
Filed under: uncultured bacterium
Lineage: Bacteria
Description: bacterial SSU rRNA
Rfam family: Bacterial small subunit ribosomal RNA
Source: RNAcentral